UAUUCUCAUCAACUUCACAUACUUUAUCUUAGGCAAAAUCUUCCAUUUCUCUUCACACAAAGAAAACAAAUUGGGGAAAAACACAGAAAAAAGAAGAAGAAAGAAAAUGAAUUCUCCUCCAAAAUAUCAAAAUAUGUCAUAUUAUGAUCAUGUCCAAAGGCGCCGAGAAGAAAAGGGAUGCCUCUAUGCUUGCAUGUUCACUCUAUGUUGCUGUUUCUGCUGCUACGAAACUUGCGAGAGCUGCUUAGAUUGUGUCUGCUGUUGCUGCCCUUGAAACAAAAAAUUACUGUAUUUUACAAGAUUGUUAUUAGUAUUUAAUAUUAGUAUUUAAUAUUUCAAUAAAUGGGAUGUUAGGAUGUUACAUAUCACUAUUGUAUCUACUAUGUUUUAUAUCCUUGUAAUUUAAUUUCUCUCUACUCCAAGUGAAAUUUCAAUACUUUUCUCGAAAAGUUGUUGAAUUA
Molecule: long non-coding RNA, 461 nt
Organism: Nicotiana tabacum (common tobacco)
Lineage: Eukaryota; Viridiplantae; Streptophyta; Magnoliopsida; Solanales; Solanaceae
Source: RefSeq, a predicted model, not a curated record